GAGAGUGGGUAGUCCGCACGAGCGCACCUCACUUUUAGUUGCCAUCAUUAAGUUGGGCACUCUGAAAGAACUGCCAGUGAUAAGCUGGAGGAAGGUGGGGAUGACGUCAAGUCCUCAUGGCCCUUACGUGUUGGGCUACACACGUGCUACAAUGGCAUCUACAACAGGAAGCAAAACGGCAACGUUAAGCAAAUCCCGAAAAGAUGCCUCAGUUCGGAUUGCACUCUGCAACUCGAGUGCAUGAAGUUGGAAUUACUAGUAAUCGUGGAUCAGCGUGCCACGGUGAAUGCGUUCCCGGGUCUUGUACACACCGCCCGUCACACCAUGGGAGUUGGUUCUACCUUAAGGCAAGGUUUUAAACCCUUGACCACGGUAUAGUCAGCGACUGGGGUGAAGUCGUAACAAGGUAGCCGUAGGGGAACCUGCGGCUGGAUUACCUCCUUUCU
RNAcentral lists this ribosomal RNA (446 nucleotides) under uncultured Pelagibacterales bacterium. RNAcentral describes it as "bacterial SSU rRNA". It matches the Rfam family "Bacterial small subunit ribosomal RNA", at positions 1072 to 1533 of the family's 1533-position model. The record is from RNAcentral. Lineage: Bacteria; Pseudomonadati; Pseudomonadota; Alphaproteobacteria; Candidatus Pelagibacterales.